RNAcentral lists this long non-coding RNA (1855 nucleotides) under Marmota monax (woodchuck). Lineage: Eukaryota; Metazoa; Chordata; Mammalia; Rodentia; Sciuridae. The record is from RNAcentral.
GUUAAUUUGGCUACAAGUUUAUAGUUAAAAUUCAUCUCUUUGAAAGUCCAUUUUGAUUUUAUUGACUUUUUUUCUGUUGUUUGUGUUAUCAGUUUCAUUGAUUUCUGCUCAAAUUUUAUUAUUUUCCCCCUUAGGUUUACUUUUGAUUUAAUUUGUUCAUAUUUUUUUCUGUUUUCCUAAGGCAGAAGCAACAUUAUUGAUGUUAGAUGCCACUUUUCCUCUUUGCAUUCAAUGCUGUAAAUUUCCCUCUGAGCACUGCUUUCAGUCUAACCAACAAAUUUUGAUAAGUUGAAUUUUAAUUUUAUUUCAACUCUUCUCAGACUUCUUUAACCUAGAGGAGCAAGGAUAAACAUUUAAGAAUAUGUUUAAUUUAGAACUAUGUUUUAAAUUUGUACUGGGGCUUUCCAAUUAUUUUUCUUCAUUAGGGUAAGUAGUUACUUGAGAACAGUCCAUACUGUUACAUAGUUAUACAUAGUAUAAGAGUAACACAAAACCACUAUCAGUGCUAAAACCACUAACAGUAUUCUACUAAUUACAAAAAAAAUCAUAAUAGGUUAAAAAUCAUGUACAUAAUCUACUGCUAUUAAAAUUUAAAAUUCCGCAGAUUCCUUUGGAAUUUUACAUUCUUUUUAUUGGAAUUUGUUCAUUUCAUAGUAAUACUAAAGAUAUAAAUUAAGAUUAUUUUAAGCCUUUAUUCUGUUCUAUCAUUUUAUCUUCUUUCUCAUCCUUAAAAUAAUUUAUGGACAGCCACUGGUGUUUUUCUCAUAUCCUGUCGUCCUUGGCUGUCUGCUUACAUUUAUGAAUGAAGAACUACAUCAAUUACAGAAGGCUGCUCAGAAUUUCUUUUGGCAACCAUGGAAUUCUAUUUCUUCAUCUCACUUGAGUAAACAAGUUGAUCACAACCUCUAAAUGAGAAGCUUUGAUAGAUCCUAAGACACACAUCUAAGAAGCAGGCAGGAAAUCGGGGGUAUUUUUAUCUCUAUUCUUGACAGAAUGAGGAAAACUUGACUCUGGGCAUCAACAUUGACAAGUAGCAAACCUAACUCUUCCUGUGUCUAGUUCACAUCACACUUAACCCUGAGAAAAGAGCCACCACAGAAAGGCUCUGUGUGUGUGUGUAUGUGUGUGUAUAUGUGUGCGUGCACAUGUGUGUGAAGACAUGCAACUCAUGGUCUUGCAAUCCAUGAUGUUGAUCUCCCUCUCUUCCCAUUCUCAUUUCCCAUAUGAUUUUGCAACAAGAUUAGGUUCUUAAAAACACUUCAGAAGUGAGAGGCUUGCACCUCCUCUAACACUAUUUUCUAUGCACACUCCAGGUAUGAAUAACACUGAUUUAUGUGUAAAUGAUUCAAAAUGUCUCUCGUUUUCUACAUAUUUAUCAGUACUUCUGACCUGAUGUAGGAUCACUUCCCUCUCUCAGAUCUCUUAUAAAUAAACUUGUACUUAUUUACUUAUUUAUAAACUUAUACAUUACUUUUUUGGAAGAAAAUAAAACAUAAAUUAUGUCUUCAGUUGCUAUCUUGAACUUGAAGAAUCACACAACCUUUCCACAAGCAUUAAAUAUAUUAAAUAUACCCUAUUUUUAAUGAUAUCUUAAUAUUCCAUUUAGUAAGGGUUCCAUCAUUUAUUUAUUUCCUGAUUUUGUUUAUUUAUUAUCUUCUCAUUUUUUGCUCUUAAACAUGAAAUAAUGAAUUUAUUUUUUUGUUAUUCAAGUAGUAUCUGCCUUCAUUUAAAUUACUUUCUUUGGACCAAUUCCCAGAAGUAGGAUUACUGAGUCAAAGGAGAUAUUUAUUUUUAUGACUCAAAUGGUUUUCCCAAGGAGUUAUGCCAACUUACAAUGACACCAAUAAUAAAUGAG